GAAGACCAAGGGUUCCUGUCCAACGUUAAUCGGGGCAGGGUAAGUCGACCCCUAAGGCGAGGCCGAAAGGCGUAGUCGAUGGGAAACGGGUUAAUAUUCCCGUACUUCUUACAAUUGCGAUGGGGGGACGGAGAAGGCUAGGUGGGCCUGGCGACGGUUGUCCAGGUUCAAGUGCGUAGGCUUAAGAGUUAGGUAAAUCCGGCUCUUUUUAAGGCUGAGACACGACGUCGAGCACCUACGGGUGUGAAGUCAUUGAUGCCAUGCUUCCAGGAAAAGCCUCUAAGCUUCAGAUUGUAAGGAAUCGUACCCCAAACCGACACAGGUGGUCGGGUAGAGAAUACCAAGGCGCUUGAGAGAACUCGGGUGAAGGAACUAGGCAAAAUGGUACCGUAACUUCGGGAGAAGGUACGCUCUUGAUGGUGAAGUCCCUUGCGGAUGGAGCUGACGAGAGUCGCAGAUACCAGGUGGCUGCAACUGUUUAUUAAAAACACAGCACUGUGCAAAAUCGUAAGAUGACGUAUACGGUGUGACGCCUGCCCGGUGCCGGAAGGUUAAUUGAUGGGGUUAGACUUC
RNAcentral lists this ribosomal RNA (573 nucleotides) under Vibrio parahaemolyticus. RNAcentral describes it as "partial 23S ribosomal RNA". It matches the Rfam family "Bacterial large subunit ribosomal RNA", at positions 1340 to 1898 of the family's 2925-position model. The record is from RNAcentral. Lineage: Bacteria; Pseudomonadati; Pseudomonadota; Gammaproteobacteria; Vibrionales; Vibrionaceae.